AGGAAAUCUGCUUCUGUUGGUUU
Molecule: microRNA, 23 nt
Filed under: Oreochromis niloticus (Nile tilapia)
Lineage: Eukaryota; Metazoa; Chordata; Actinopteri; Cichliformes; Cichlidae
Also listed under: 1 other name
Description: oni-miR-10551
Source: miRBase by way of RNAcentral